GAUGAACUGUGGGUAGCGGAGAAAUUCCAAUCGAACCCGGAGAUAGCUGGUUCUCUCCGAAAUAGCUUUAGGGCUAGCCUUGAAAUAGAUUACCGGAGGUAAAGCACUGAAUUGGCUAGGGGCCGAGAGGUUACUGAACCUUAUCAAACUAAGAAUGCCGGAUAAUCGUUUUUCAGGAGUCAGACAGUGGGAGAUAAGUUUCAUUGUCAAAAGGGAAACAGCCCAGACCCACAGCUAAGGUCCCCAAGUAUAGUUAAGUGGAAAAGGAUGUGGAAUUGCACAGACAACCAGGAUGUUGGCUUAGAAGCAGCCACUCAUUAAAAGAGUGCGUAAUAGCUCACUGGUCGAGUGACUCUGCGCCGAAAAUUUAACGGGGCUAAACUAUACACCGAAGCUUGGGAUACAUCUAAUGUAUGGUAGGAGAGCGUUCUGUAUGGGGAGAAGUCGUAGCGAAAGCGGCGGUGGACUAUACAGAAGUGAGAAUGCCGGAAUAAGUAGCGAGAAUUAAGUGAGAAUCUUAAUGGCCGAAAGUCUAAGGUUUUUGGAGGAAGGUUCGUCCGCUCCAAGUAAGUCGGGAGCUAAGGUCAGGCCGAAAGGCGUAGCCGAUGCACAUACGGUUGAUAUUCCGUAACCAUCUGUAAUUUAAGCAAAGGGACACUUCAAAAGGGUGUGACCCGGGCGUUGGUUGACCCGGGCGUAAGGGACCGAAAUUAGAGUAGGGAAGCACACUUGGCUGAAGGCGAGAAAAGCUUUGCGUAUAGAAACAGAUGCCCGUACCGCAAACCGACACAGGUGGACAGGAAGAGAAUUCUAAGGCCAGCGGGAGAAGGGUAGUUAAGGAACUCGGCAAAUUGACUCCGUAACUUCGGAAUAAGGAGUGCUCGAAAGAGCCGCAGAGAAUAGGCCCAGGCGACUGUUUAGCAAAAACACAGGUCUCUGCCAAAUCGAAAGAUGAAGUAUAGGGGCUGACACCUGCCCGGUGCCGGAAGGUUAAGAGGAGGAGUGAGAGCUCCGAAUUGAAGCCCCGGUAAACGGCGGCCGUAACUAUAACGGUCCUAAGGUAGCGAAAUUCCUUGUCGGGUAAGUUCCGACCCGCACGAAUGGUGUAACGAUCUGGGCACUGUCUCAACUACCCACCCGGCGAAAUUGUAGUACCGGUGAAGAUGCCGGUUACCUGCGGCAAGACGGAAAGACCCCAUGGAGCUUUACUGUAGCCUGAUAUUGGGUUUCGGAAAUCUAUGUACAGGAUAGGCGGGAGACUGGGAAACAUGAGCGUCAGCUUGUGUGGAGUCGAUGUUGGGAUACCGCCCUUAGGUUUCUGGAAUUCUAACCUGCGGCCGUGAAACCGGUCGGGGGACAUUGUCAGGUGGGCAGUUUGACUGGGGCGGUCGCCUCCGAAAAGGUAACGGAGGCGCUCAAAGGUUAGCUCAGCACGGACGGAAACCGUGCCUCUGAGUGUAAACGCAAAAGCUAGCCUAACUGCGAGGGUGACGGCCCGAGCAGUAACGAAAGUUGGAGUUAGUGAUCCGGCGGUAUGUGAAUGGAAAUGCCGUCGCUCAACGGAUAAAAGCUACCCUGGGGAUAACAGGCUGAUCUCCCCCAAGAGUCCACAUCGACGGGGAGGUUUGGCACCUCGAUGUCGGCUCAUCACAUCCUGGGGCUGUAUUCGGUCCCAAGGGUUCGGCUGUUCGCCGAUUAAAGUGGUACGCGAGCUGGGUUCAGAACGUCGCGAGACAGUUCGGUCCCUAUCUGUCGUGGGCGCAGGAUAUUUGAGGAGCUCUGUCCUUAGUACGAGAGGACCGGGAUGGACGUACCUCUGGUGCACCAGUUGUCAUGCCAAUGGCACGGCUGGGCAGCUAUGUACGGAACGGAUAAACGCUGAAAGCAUCUAAGCGUGAAGCCGACUCCAAGAUUAGAUAUCCCAUCGUAUAACGAGUAAGACCCCUUGAAGACUACGAGGUUGAUAGGCUGCGUGUGUAAGUGCCGUGAGGCAUUCAGCUUGGCAGUACUAAUAGGUCGAGGGCUUGACCAC
Molecule: ribosomal RNA, 2032 nt
Filed under: human gut metagenome
Description: bacterial LSU rRNA
Rfam family: Bacterial large subunit ribosomal RNA
Source: RNAcentral